RNAcentral lists this unclassified non-coding RNA (219 nucleotides) under uncultured fungus. RNAcentral's name for it is "sequence contains ITS1, 5.8S rRNA gene". Lineage: Eukaryota; Fungi. The record is from RNAcentral.
CCAAAAGACGCUCGCUCUCGCGAGUCGAAAGCUCUCCGGGCUCGGUUGACGCCGGCCCGAAGUGCGAACCACCUGUGAACGGUAAACAAUCUUUCGCUUCCGCGGUCGGACCGGCUUUCUGGCCGGGUCGUAAUCCCGCGGGUGGCACCCAACCCGUCAAACUGUACGAACAAAACCAGUCUGAGACCGGUCUUCUGACCGAAAAAACGAAUGAAAUCA